GAGGAAACUCUGAUGCAGCGACGCCGCGUGAGCGAUGAAGCCCUUCGGGGUGUAAAGCUCUUUCGACAGGAACGAUAAUGACGGUACCUGGAGAAGAAGCUGCGGCUAACUACGUGCCAGCAGCCGCGGUAAUACGUAGGCAGCAAGCGUUGUUCGGAAUUACUGGGCGUAAAGAGUGUGUAGGCGGUGCUCUAAGUUCGUUGUGAAAUCUCCAGGCUUAACUGGGAGGGUGCGGCGGAAACUGGAGUGCUUGAGCGCGGGAGAGGAAAGCGGAAUUCCUGGUGUAGCGGUGAAAUGCGUAGAUAUCAGGAGGAACACCUGUGGUGUAGACGGCUUUCUGGACCGUAGCUGACGCUGAGACACGAAAGCGUGGGUAGCAAACAGGAUUAGAUACCCUGGUAGUCCACGCCCUAAACGAUGCAUACUUGGUGUGAGCCAUUCAGUUGGUUCGUGCCGGAGU
Molecule: ribosomal RNA, 460 nt
Filed under: uncultured Bacillota bacterium
Lineage: Bacteria; Bacillati; Bacillota
Description: bacterial SSU rRNA
Rfam family: Bacterial small subunit ribosomal RNA
Source: RNAcentral